Molecule: non-coding RNA, 247 nt
Organism: Schizosaccharomyces pombe (fission yeast)
Lineage: Eukaryota; Fungi; Ascomycota; Schizosaccharomycetes; Schizosaccharomycetales; Schizosaccharomycetaceae
Source: the annotation of a GenBank genome assembly
ACGAUAAUGGAUGUUAAAUCGUCAAAAGAUGAGAGAGCGGAUUGGUUUGUAUUAUAUCUUGCUAAAGGUUUUGGAACUCCGUAGCGAAUCGAUGAUUAGAAAGGAAGUAGAAAAGACGUACCCAAAGAUUCCUAUAAAACACAAUCCAUAUUGGUUUUAUCUUGGCGCGGAUUGCUUAUUAAAAAAACUACCUAAAUAGUAAAACGUAUCGGAAACGAAACAAUGCUGAACAACGAUAAUCAUCCCA